RNAcentral lists this unclassified non-coding RNA (160 nucleotides) under uncultured Conlarium. RNAcentral's name for it is "sequence contains ITS2". The record is from RNAcentral. Lineage: Eukaryota; Fungi; Ascomycota; Sordariomycetes.
CAACCCUCAAGUGCUUUAGUGCUUGGUGUUGGGGCUUCUGCUGCUUGCAGCAGGCCCUGAAAGAUAGUGGCGAGCUCGCCGUGACCCUGAGCGUAGUAGUUUUACACCUCGCUUCUGUGGCUCGCGGCGGGUUCUCAGCCGUGAAACCCCAAUUUUUUGU